CGUACACAAAAGCGCAUGUGUUGUGAGCUCGAUGAGUAGGGCGGGACACGUGGUAUCCUGUCUGAAUAUGGGGGGACCAUCCUCCAAGGCUAAAUACUCCUGACUGACCGAUAGUGAACCAGUACCGUGAGGGAAAGGCGAAAAGAACCCCGGCGAGGGGAGUGAAAAAGAACCUGAAACCGUGUACGUACAAGCAGUGGGAGCCCCACCACCAAAGCAUUCUCUGGUGUUGAAGGCCCUGCAAAGCAGCAUCGCGGUGGCGGAGCGUCGUUUGCGACGCCCAACACAAAAAACAAGCGGUGAGUGCUUUGGGGUGGGGUGACUGCGUACCU
This 332-nucleotide ribosomal RNA is filed under the name Salmonella enterica subsp. enterica serovar Mbandaka. Its description in RNAcentral is "bacterial LSU rRNA". It matches the Rfam family "Bacterial large subunit ribosomal RNA", at positions 374 to 606 of the family's 2925-position model. The record is from RNAcentral. Lineage: Bacteria; Pseudomonadati; Pseudomonadota; Gammaproteobacteria; Enterobacterales; Enterobacteriaceae.